GAUGAACGCUGGCGGCGUGCCUAAUACAUGCAAGUCGAGCGAACGGACGAGAAGCUUGCUUCUCUGAUGUUAGCGGCGGAAGGGUGAGUAACACGUGGAUAACCUACCUAUAAGACUGGGAUAACUUCGGGAAACCGGAGCUAAUACCGGAUAAUAUUUUGAACCGCAUGAUUCAAAAGUGAAAGACGGUCUUGCUGUCACUUAUAGAUGGAUCCGCGCUGCAUUAGCUAGUUGGUAAGGUAACGGCUUACCAAGGCAACGAUGCAUAGCCGACCUGAGAGGGUGAUCGGCGACACUGGAACUGAGACACGGUCCAGACUCCUACGGGAGGCAGCAGUAGGGAAUCUUCCGCGAUGGGCGAAAGCCUGACGGAGCAACGCCGCGUGAGUGAUGAAGGUCUUCGGAUCGUAAAACUCUGUUAUUAGGGAAGAACAUAUGUGUAAGUAACUGUGCACAUCGUGACGGUACCUAAUCAGAAAGCCACGGCUAACUACGUG
RNAcentral lists this ribosomal RNA (497 nucleotides) under uncultured bacterium. RNAcentral describes it as "partial 16S ribosomal RNA". It matches the Rfam family "Bacterial small subunit ribosomal RNA", at positions 28 to 507 of the family's 1533-position model. The record is from RNAcentral.